CCUACGGGUGUCUGCAGUCGAGAAUCAUUCACAAUGGGGGAAACCCUGAUGGUGCGACGCCGCGUGGGGGAAUGAAGGUCUUCGUAUUGUAAACCCCUGUCACGUGGGAGCAAAUUAAAAAGAUAGGACCACAAGAGGAAGAUACGGCUAACUCAGUGCCCGCAGCCGCGGGAAUACAGAGGUCUCAAGCGUGGUUCGGAAUCAAUGGGCGUAAAGCGUGCGUAGGAUGAUGCGUAAGUAGUGUGUGAAAGGCGCGGGCUCAAGCCGCGGACGGCAGAUGAUAAUGGGAGACUAGAGUGAAGGAGGGGGAAGCGGAAUUCUCGGUGUAGCAGUGAAAUGCGUAGAUAUCGAGAGGAACACUCGUGGCGAAGGCGGGUUGCUGGACAGUAAAUGACGCUGAGGCACGAAGGCCAGGGGAGCGAAAGGGAUUAGAUACCCGAGUAGUC
RNAcentral lists this ribosomal RNA (446 nucleotides) under uncultured bacterium. RNAcentral describes it as "partial 16S ribosomal RNA". It matches the Rfam family "Bacterial small subunit ribosomal RNA", at positions 338 to 795 of the family's 1533-position model. The record is from RNAcentral.